UGCCAGCAGCCGCGGUAAUACGUAGGGGGCUAGCGUUGUCCGGAAUCACUGGGCGUAAAGGGUUCGCAGGCGGAAAUGCAAGUCAGAUGUAAAAGGCAGUAGCUUAACUACUGUAAGCAUUUGAAACUGCAUAUCUUGAGAAGAGUAGAGGUAAGUGGAAUUUUUAGUGUAGCGGUGAAAUGCGUAGAUAUUAAAAAGAAUACCGGUGGCGAAGGCGACUUACUGGGCUCAUUCUGACGCUGAGGAACGAAAGCGUGGGUAGCAAACAGGAUUAGAUA
RNAcentral lists this ribosomal RNA (278 nucleotides) under uncultured bacterium. RNAcentral's name for it is "partial 16S ribosomal RNA". It matches the Rfam family "Bacterial small subunit ribosomal RNA", at positions 506 to 784 of the family's 1533-position model. The record is from RNAcentral.